GUGCCAGCCGCCGCGGUAAUACAGAGGGUGCAAGCGUUGUUCGGAAUUAUUGGGCGUAAAGCGCGUGUAGGCGGCUUUGCAAGUCUGGUGUGAAAUCCCUCGGCUUAACCGAGGAAGUGCGCCAGAAACUGCAGAGCUUGAGUACCGGAGAGGAUGGUGGAAUUCCCCAAGUAGAGGUGAAAUUCGUAGAUAUGGGGAGGAACACCGGUGGCGAAGGCGACCAUCUGGACGGAUACUGACGCUGAGACGCGAAAGCGUGGGGAGCAAACAGGAUUAGAAACCCCAGUAGUCC
RNAcentral lists this ribosomal RNA (292 nucleotides) under uncultured bacterium. RNAcentral describes it as "partial 16S ribosomal RNA". It matches the Rfam family "Bacterial small subunit ribosomal RNA", at positions 505 to 796 of the family's 1533-position model. The record is from RNAcentral.